Long non-coding RNA from Mangifera indica (mango), 856 nucleotides. RefSeq lists it as uncharacterized. The record is from RefSeq and is a predicted model, not a curated record. The transcript is spliced from 6 exons. Lineage: Eukaryota; Viridiplantae; Streptophyta; Magnoliopsida; Sapindales; Anacardiaceae.
UCGGAGGAUCCGGAUUGGACUUGAGAAGCAAAGCUAGGACUUUAAAUGGACCGGUUUCUGAUCCUGCCAAGCUUCCGAAGUGGAACUACGACGGCUCCAGCACCAGCCAGGCUCCCGGUGACAACGGUGAAGUCAUCCUUUCCGCUGAGUGAUUUCAAAAUUUUCAGGAUUGGAAUCUUUGGUUAAGAGAAAAUAAAAAUUUAACUUUAGAUUCCAUUGAUAAGCUGUGUUUGUUGUUUUUUAAGUCCUCAAGCGAUAUUCAAGGAUCCCUUCAGACGAGGAAACGACAUCCUGGUGUCGAAUUCUGCCACAUUAUGUAUUUAUUCCUUUUUAAUCCCCGUGAAUUUCGGUAGGAUAAUAGUGAAUUGGUCAAGAGCUAUUAACGUCUUUCUGUCUAAUAAAAUAAAAGGUGAUGUGCAAUGCUUACAGGCCAGCUGGCGAACCCAUCCCCACCAAUAAGAGAUACAAUGCUGCCAAGGUAUUCAGCCACCCUGAUGUCCUCACUGAGGAGCCAAGAGACCCUAUUACUGCGGAAUAGGAGCUGACAAAGCCUUUGGUCAGGAUAUUGUGGAUGCACACUACAAAGCUUGUCUCUACGCAGAAAUUAACAUUAGUGGAGUUAACGGCGAAGUUAUGCCCGGCCAAGUAUUGGGAAUUCCAAGUCGGUCGUGUUGUUGGAAUUUCUGCAGGUGAUCAAUUAUGGAAGGCUAGGUUCAUUCUUGAGAGGAUCACCGAGAUUGCAGGAGUUGUACUUUCCUUUGAUCCAAAACCUAUUGAGGGUGACUGGAAUGGAGCUGGUGCGCAUACUAACUACGGGUAUAUUGUCACGGGCUCAGGUUGGGAGCCGUGAUAUGGC